CUGGUUACAUGAUGAAUAAAAUCAAAUCACCAUCUUUCGGCUGAGCUCGUGAUGGAUUUGCUUUUUUCUGAUAAAGGUG
Molecule: small nucleolar RNA, 79 nt
Organism: Ictidomys tridecemlineatus (thirteen-lined ground squirrel)
Lineage: Eukaryota; Metazoa; Chordata; Mammalia; Rodentia; Sciuridae
Source: Ensembl